This 2177-nucleotide ribosomal RNA is filed under the name Mystacinobia zelandica (New Zealand batfly). RNAcentral's name for it is "eukaryotic LSU rRNA". It matches the Rfam family "Eukaryotic large subunit ribosomal RNA", at positions 37 to 1917 of the family's 3401-position model. The record is from RNAcentral. Lineage: Eukaryota; Metazoa; Arthropoda; Insecta; Diptera; Mystacinobiidae.
AGCAUAUUAAUGAGGGGAGGAAAAGAAACUAACAAGGAUUUUCUUAGUAGCGGCGAGCGAAAAGAAAAGAGUUCAGCACUAAGUCACUUUGUUUUUAUGGCAAAUGUGAGAUGCAGUGUAUGGAAUGUCAAAUUUCUAGUAUGAAAAAUUAAUGAUUUAAGUCCUUCUUAAAUGAGGCCAUUUACCCAAAGAGGGUGCCAGGCCCGUAUAACGUUAAUGAUUACUAGAUGACAUUUCCAAAGAGUCGUGUUGCUUGAUAGUGCAGCACUAAGUGGGUGGUAAACUCCAUCUAAAACUAAAUAUAACCAUGAGACCGAUAGCAAACAAGUACCGUGAGGGAAAGUUGAAAAGAACUUUGAAUAGAGAGUUAAAUAGUACGUGAAACUGCUUAGAGGUUAAGCCCGAUGAACCUGAAUAUUCAUUAUGGAAAAUUCAUCAUUAUGACUGUAAUAUUUAUAAUAUUACAAUAAUAGUGUGCAUUUUUUCCAUAAAGAACAUUGUAAUCUAUUAACAUCACAUAUAUUUAUUAUAAGAUCAUUAGCUCUAGUUUAUUCAAAUUAUUUUGCUUGCAAUUUAACAUAGAAUAAAUGCUUUUGAUUUGAUAAAGUGUUGAUAGAUUUAUUAUAUAUAGUGCUGAAAUAUUUAUAUUUUAUAAUAGCAUAUUUAUCAUUGAUUUUUAUGUUUAUUAUAUGCACUUAUAUGAUUAACAAUGCGAAAGAUUCAGGAUACCUUCGGGACCCGUCUUGAAACACGGACCAAGGAGUCUAACAUAUUUGCAAGUUAUUGGGAAUAUAAAACCUAAUAGCGUAAUUAACAUAACUUUAAUGGGAUUAGUUUUUAGUCUAUUUAUAGUCUAUUAAUUCAAUCCCGGGGCGUUCUAUAUAGUUAUGUAUAAUAAUAUUUAUAUUAUUUAUACCUCUAACUGGAGCGUACCUUGAGCAAAUAUGCUGUGACCCGAAAGAUGGUGAACUAUACUUGAUCAGGUUGAAGUCAGGGGAAACCCUGAUGGAAGACCGAAACAGUUCUGACGUGCAAAUCGAUUGUCAGAAUUGAGUAUAGGGGCGAAAGACCAAUCGAACCAUCUAGUAGCUGGUUCCCUCCGAAGUUUCCCUCAGGAUAGCUGGUGCAUUAAAAAAUUAUGUAAAAUAAUCUUAUCUGGUAAAGCGAAUGAUUAGAGGCCUUAGGGUCGAAACGACCUUAACCUAUUCUCAAACUUUAAAUGGGUAAGAACCUCACCUUUCUUGGUAUGAAGGUUGUGGUUGUGAUAUAAUGUGCCCAGUGGGCCACUUUUGGUAAGCAGAACUGGCGCUGUGGGAUGAACCAAACGUAAUGUUACGGUGCCCAAAUUAACAACUCAUGCAGAUACCAUGAAAGGCGUUGGUUGCUUAAAACAGCAGGACGGUGGACAUGGAAGUCGUAAUCCGCUAAGGAGUGUGUAACAACUCACCUGCCCAAGCAACUAGCCCUUAAAAUGGAUGGCGCUUACCUUGUAUACCUAUACAUUACCGCUGAAGUAAAUGGUUUAUGUUCAAUUUCGGUUGAAUUAUAAGCUUUGAAACUUCAGUGAGUAGGAGGGUACGAUGGUGUGCUUGGAAGUGUUUGGCGUAAGCCUGCAUGGAGCCGCCAUUGGUACAGAUCUUGGUGGUAGUAGCAAAUAAUCGAAUGAGACCUUGGAGGACUGAAGUGGAGAAGGGUUUCGUGUGAACAGUGGUUGAUCACGAGUUAGUCGGUCCUAAGUUCAAGGCGAAAGCCGAAAAUUUUCAAGUUAUAAUGAAAAGUAAAUAUUAUUUACUUAGUAAUUAAACACUUGAAUAUUUUUGAACGAAAGGGAAUACGGUUCCAAUUCCGUAACCUGUUUGAGUAUACGUUUGUUAUUAAAUAUGGGCCUUGUGCUCAUCCUGGCAACAGAAACAACCAUAAAGAAGCCGUCGAGAGGUAUCGGAAGAGUUUUCUUUUCUGUUUUAUAGUCGUACUACCAUGGAAGUCUUUCGAAGAGAGAUAUGGUAGAUGGACUAGAAGAGCAUGACAUUUACUGUUGUGUCGAUAUUUUCUCCUCGGACCUUGAAAAUUUAUGGUGGGGUCACGCAAACUUCUUAACAGGCCGUACCAAUAUCCGCAGCUGGUCUCCAAGGUGAAGAGUCUCUAGUCGAUAGAAUAAUGUAGGUAAGGGAAGUCGA